This is a long non-coding RNA of Monodelphis domestica (gray short-tailed opossum), 1362 nucleotides long. RefSeq lists it as uncharacterized. The record is from RefSeq and is a predicted model, not a curated record. NCBI's taxonomy places the organism in Eukaryota, Metazoa, Chordata, Mammalia, Didelphimorphia, Didelphidae.
CUGGCCAGGGGGAGGAUCUGAUUCUGUCUCUGUCUCUCUCUGGGGGUUGACUGAUCCAAGGAGGCAAGCCUGACUGAAGGGGGAAGAAGCUGAGAACUAAUAUUAUUAACUUCUGUCCCAGGCUGAAGGACCCUUGAGGGAGGCUUCUGAAAUUAGGCUGAGAGACCUUGGUGGCUUUGUGAAGAAGAAAGAAAGAAUAACAGUUGUCCUCCAUCUCUCUGAUUGUACCUCUGUCACAGUUGUGAUUGGACUGGUUUCCCAAACCCACAAAUUCUCCUUAUAGAUUAGGGAAACCUUCAUCCCUCUUUCCUCAGUUCCCUAUCCUAAUGUUUCCCAAUAAACCCCUUACCUGAGAAAGAAAACAAGAGUAUCUUCAUAGUACACUCAGAGGGGAGGGGUGAAGCCAUAAGCUUCAAGAAGAAACUGGGAGGGAGAGGCUGGAAGAAGGGGGUAAGGGAGUGUGUGGGAUUUGGGAGUGAAGAGAGGAGGAGGUUAGGAAAUAGAUUGAUCUAUAAGCCAUCAAAUAGUGAUCAGUAGGCAAACCCCAGUGCAUUCCCCUGUGGCAGCAUCCCUCUAUCUCUAGCAGCAGCUUUCAGUGUUUCUCAAAGUACUUCUAUCCCGAUUGUAACUAAGAAAUCCUCAGGAUGUCCCCUACCAGCAGCUCUCUCUAGUCUCAAGCCAGAGUACAUCAGUUACAACAAGAAAUAGUCACGCAGAUUAUCUUUUCUAUUACACAGAUCAACUCAACUAAGACCUAAUUAUUAUCUCUGGAUCUAGAAGGUAUCCCUAGGGCAGUAGUCAUAAGAAGAAUUUAAUUAGGUGAGGGCAGGAAAGUGAUAUUAGAUUUUGGGAGAACUAUCCAGAAAAACCACAAGCAAAAAAGAGAAGGAAGAUAUAAUGUAUUUGCCCAAGUGAUAUCCCAUCUGGCUCAGCAUCCAGUAUCUAUGAAGAGAAGCAAUCUUUAUGAGGACAGUCAAGGCUCUUCUGACCUGGUAAUGAAUAAAGAGCAAAUGGAACAGAGGAGGACCAAGGAACACAAGCAAAAACACAGAAAUUCCAGCGAAUUGGACACACAGGCUUUGGAAGAACUCAAAACGCAAUUUAAAAAACAAAAAAUGGACUGCAGAAGUGGAAUACAGAAGUGAAAGAGUGUCAAGGAAUUGAAACUCAGGAUGAAUGAGAUGGUAAUGAUCUACCUAGCUUCCCUCCAUGAGUUCAAAUCAUCAAUUCCAGAAUGUAUUCCAGGACAAUAAAGGAUGCUGUCCUCAGAUAUUUUCUUUGAAAACAAAAUCCAUAAGAGGUGACGAUUCAUUAACAGAAGAAGAGGGGGACUAUCACAAACAUCCAAAAUAGCAGUAAAAU